Molecule: long non-coding RNA, 985 nt
Filed under: Equus caballus (horse)
Lineage: Eukaryota; Metazoa; Chordata; Mammalia; Perissodactyla; Equidae
Description: lncRNA (ENSECAG00000054006.1)
Source: RNAcentral
UAAAAUUAGAAGAAUUUAGAAGCACUGAAUAACACUAUAAACUGUUUUCACCCAACUGGCAUUUCUAUGACACUACAUCCAACAGCUGCAAAAUAUAUAUCCUCUUAAAGUGCAUAUGGAUUUUUCACCAAGAUAAUCCAUAUGCUGGACUUUAAAACAAAUAUGGAUAAGCUUAAAAGAAUUAAAUCAGACAGUUUAUUCUCUCAUCUAUGGAAUUACAAUAGAAAUAAAUAACAGACAAUCUCUGUACUAACCACAAAUAUUUUGAAAUGUAAAAACACUUCUCUAUUCAUUACCGAUGGAUCAAAGAAGAAAACACAAGGAAAAUUAGAAAAUAUUUUGAACUGAAUGAAAAUAAAACACUACAUAUGAAAAUACUUAGAGGGAAAUUUAUAGUUCUAAAUAUUCGUAUUAGAAACGAGGAAAGUUCUAUACCAGUGGGCUAAGAAGUGAAAAAAAAAGAACGAGUUAACUGCUAAGUAAGUAGAAAAAAGGACAUAAUAGUUUCAGAUACCAAAAUUAAAAAGAAACGUUUCUGCGUAAGAUAUAGAAAGCCUUAAGUGAACACUGCUCCCACUCGAACAAUGAGAAAAACCUGGAAAAUCAGCAAGAUAAGUAAAAAUAAAAUAAAAUACUCAAAUAAUAGAUUUUCUUGAGCCCAUCGGGGACCAGAGUUUUCAUGUAAUUUCAUGUAAUUUCAUUCAAGUAAUCUGAAUCUCAAAGAGUGACAAGACCUUUCAAGGAGAAAGAGGACAGCCAGAAUCUUGCCCUUUUGGCAAAGAAUGGAAGAGAGUAAUGGCCAACACCCAAUUUGAAGAUCCAGUGCUACAGAGAACCAACAGGUCAUAUGAAAACGGAUGCAGAGACAAACUCAUUGAAAAUGACCAAUAAAAAGCAAAGACGUGGUGGAGCACGGCAAGAGGAGGAUUACUGAAUCUUACUGGUCAGGAGCGAGCGUGGAAGGCUGGGCCUUAGAGGAAACAAC